CGUCUAUAUACGUAUAGCAUAUCAAUAAGCGGAGGAAAAGAAACUAACUAGGAUUCCCUCAGUAACGGCGAGUGAAGCGGGAAGAGCUCAAAUUUGAAAUCUUAAAGGGUUCUACCUUGACGAAUUGUAGUUUAAAGAAGUGUUUUCUGUUGGAGUUUCGGUAAAAGUUCUUUGGAAUAGGACAUCAUAGAGGGUGAGAAUCCCGUAUUUGACCAUUACUUUCCAACUGUGUGAUACACUUUCAAAGAGUCGGAUUGUUUGGGAAUGCAGUCCAAAAUGGGUGGUAAAUUUCAUCUAAAGCUAAAUAUUGGCGAGAGACCGAUAGCGAACAAGUACCGUGAGGGAAAGAUGAAAAGAACUUUGAAAAGAGAGUUAAACAGUACGUGAAAUUGUCAAAAGGGAAGCGUUUGACACCAGUGUUGUUUUCUCGAAAAUCAAUUAAAAAUGGUGGGAUUUUGUGUUGUAUUGACUUUAUCAGCUUCUGCACUUUUUUCCUAUCUUUUUUAAUGCACUUUUCGUUUAACAAGUCAACAUCAAUUUCUUUUGUUGUAAAAGAGUCAUUGGAAGGUGGCUUUCAUUUCGGUAGAAAGUGUUUAUAGCCUUUGACUUCUGCAAUCGGAGAGAUUGAGGUCUGCAGCGUAGAUCCUUCGGGGUUAGAUACAUUUGUGCUAAGCUAUAGCCUUUUCAUAGACAACAUUGUUGACUAUGAUCAUCAUGUAGCUUACUCGCUUAUGUCAUUUUACCUACGCUUAGGAUGUUGACGAUCAGCUGAGCGCG
Molecule: ribosomal RNA, 777 nt
Filed under: uncultured Neocallimastigales
Lineage: Eukaryota; Fungi; Neocallimastigomycota; Neocallimastigomycetes; Neocallimastigales
Description: partial large subunit ribosomal RNA
Rfam family: Eukaryotic large subunit ribosomal RNA
Source: RNAcentral